This is a small nuclear RNA of Pteropus vampyrus (large flying fox), 104 nucleotides long. The record is from Ensembl. Lineage: Eukaryota; Metazoa; Chordata; Mammalia; Chiroptera; Pteropodidae.
GUGCUUUCUUUGGCACCACCUAUACUAAAAUUGAAACGAUGCAGAGAUUAGCAUGGCCCCUGCACAAAGGUGAUACACGAAUUCACGAAAUGUGUUAUAUUUUA